GAUGAACGCUGGCGGCGUGCCUAAUACAUGCAAGUCGAGCGAACAGACGAGGAGCUUGCUCCUCUGACGUUAGCGGCGGACGGGUGAGUAACACGUGGAUAACCUACCUAUAAGACUGGGAUACCUUCGGGAAACCGGAGCUAAUACCGGAUAAUAUAUUGAACCGCAUGGUUCAAUAGUGAAAGACGGUUUUGCUGUCACUUAUAAAUGGAUCCGCGCCGCAUUAGCUAGUUGGUAAGGUAACGGCUUACCAAGGCAACGAUGCGUAGCCGACCUGAGAGGGUGAUCGGCCACACUGGAACUGAGACACGGUCCAGACUCCUACGGGAGGCAGCAGUAGGGAAUCUUCCGCAAUGGGCGAAAGCCUGACGGAGCAACGCCGCGUGAGUGAUGAAGGUCUUCGGAUCGUAAAACUCUGUUAUUAGGGAAGAACAAAUGUGUAAGUAACUAUGCACGUCUUGACGGUACCUAAUCAGAAAGCCACGGCUAACUACGUG
RNAcentral lists this ribosomal RNA (497 nucleotides) under uncultured bacterium. RNAcentral's name for it is "partial 16S ribosomal RNA". It matches the Rfam family "Bacterial small subunit ribosomal RNA", at positions 28 to 507 of the family's 1533-position model. The record is from RNAcentral.